ACGAGUUACAAGAGCUAGUAGUGGUUGAACAUUAAAGAGGGCAUUGAAUAAUAAUGGGCUUAUCAGAAAUAGUAAUGAAGCAGCUGGAUACGCCAUGAGCCAUAGCUUUGCCUUUAAGGAUAUUAAACUACCAAAAUAGAAAAAAAGGCCGAAUAGAUGAUCAGAUCAAUAGCUUAGAUCGAAGUUGAAUGAAAAUCGCAGCAAUGGCGGUAGCAGCAGCACCUCAAGAACAGAUGAUGUCGUACUACGAUCAUAUCCAAAAGCGUAGGGAAGAUAAAGGCUGUCUCUAUGCUUUUUUGUUUACGUUGUGUUGCUGUUGUUGCUGCUAUGAAACUUGCGAGUGUUGUGUGGAUGGCGUAUGUUGCUGCUGCUGAUCUUAAUGCAUAGAUAUGGCCCUUUCUAAUGCAGCUCAGUUCAAAUCAAACAAAGUUCUUAAUUUGAAUUAGCCAUCUAUAUGUUUUGUAAAAUUUGUUAGAUUAUGUUUUUUUUUUGGUACAAUUACUUUCCAGAUAGAAGAUUCAACCUUCCAUUUGUAAAGGAAUACAUGAUGAACAUUAUUUUUCUAAUGUAAUACUUGUAUUCAAAAUG
This is an RNA transcript of Cucumis melo (muskmelon), 588 nucleotides long. RefSeq lists it as uncharacterized. The record is from RefSeq and is a predicted model, not a curated record. The transcript has 2 exons. NCBI's taxonomy places the organism in Eukaryota, Viridiplantae, Streptophyta, Magnoliopsida, Cucurbitales, Cucurbitaceae.